UUCAUUUUUCUCUGUUCGUUUUUCUUUCUUCGUUUUCUUGGUUUCUCCCGCUCUUCGCUUUCUUCCUUUUCUGGAUAUCUGCCGUUCUUCGCUAUUGUUUUCUGCCAUUUUUUAACCCUUGGUGGCUUAUCUUUUGUUAAUCUUUGUGUUUGCAGGUGUGGAGCCAUUUUUCAAAGGAAAAAUUCAUCGGCCGGUGAAGGUUAUUUAGCUUGGUGGGUUGGGUUAUACGGAUCUUCAGCUUGGUGAAUAUUGUUUUGGGUAUCUGAGUAAGAUUGGGAAAGAAAAGGAGAUUGUGGAACUUUCAUGGUUGAGUUCCAGCACUCUAUACGUAUUCUGCCCUGUAGCAUGUACUCAUGCAGUUCCAACUUUUCUACAAGCUCGAUACAGGGAAAUGAACCUUUCUGUUCAAUAAAAAGUUUUUCUUUGCAUCUGGACCACUGCACUUUAAAAGUGUUAAGGGGUGUCUUUAUGCUGGGAUCAUCACAGCUUACGCAUCUUUUCAACCUUUAAAGUCCUUCAGGGUGGUGUUCUGAUUUUUCAUUCCUUCUCAUCACUUCUACAAGAGGAAAUUCCAUGUGCUCAAAACCCAAUUCGAUUCCGUUGCUAAGAGUUUGCUGAGCAAGUCCCUGUACGGAAACAUGGUUGGAGUCGUUGGUUCUAUGUGGGUUCGGGCAGCAGCUACUUUUUCUUUGUUUUUGGAUUUGUAAGAAGAUACAUGCUCAGAUUCCAUUUCUGCAAUUAAAGAUUGCUUAAAGAAAAGUUCUACCAAAACUUUGCCUACACUAUCCAUCUCUGUUCUCCGCCGUCCAUCACCAAAAUGGAGCCUGUAAAGUUUGACAGAACCGAAGUGGAAGGAAAACCACCUUAAAGAGAGAAGAGAGAGGUUUAGCGGAUGAAUUUAUACUUAGAACCUCAAGGAUCCAACCGUAUAAUCCACACUUUAUUACAGCAUAAGCCGAAAGCCAUCUGGGUUUUCUUCAAAACUUCAAGCAGUUCAAUAGCAACUGAGAUAUGCCCUUCUUCUUCUUCAGCUCAGAUCUAUAUCGGUGAGCGCUGCUUGACAAUGUCCAGACCAUGUUUGUUGGUUUGUCUGCUCCUGUUAAUUGUGUUUACGUCACAGUUCGAAUGGAAGAAAUAUGGGGAUGAUGAUCCAAGUCCAAGUACCUCCAAGAAACACAAGUACAUAUCUGAAAGGGAAGAAACUGCGAAAGAAAAGUUGGGACUUAGGUUAUAACUUCUCAUAGCAGUUAAUUAUAACAAGCUCACAUCUUCAGUGCCCAGAGUAAGUGUUUUACAACACCACAUGAACGAUCUAGAUACAAAUGCUUGAAUUGAUGCUGCGGCCCCUAAUAAUUUGCUUCUUCUGUUAAUGGUUUCUUUAUCCGUAUUGUUUGCGCAUUUCUCUAAGGCAACAGUUAUUGGGAUCGCAAUAAAGUCCUCGUGCACUCUGCCAUAGUGGACAAAAUAAGGAAGGGAGUGAAUAUGACAUUUUGGAGUGCUAAUCUCAAUUUUUUUUUUUUUCUUUUUCAAAAUGACUGAUCUUUGAUUUCCCUGGGUUGGCCUUUAAAUUUUUCUGAGAGAAGGAAUAUGCAGGAUUAUGUAGCUUUUCAAAUUACAAAAUUAUCUUCAAUUGUCCUUCCUAAUUUAAUUGUUUUGGCCUUCUUUGUUUUACCUUGUUUUCUUCUAUGGAGAAUGUUUCUCCAAUUUGCACAAGUUUGUCUGUAUAGUUAAACUGCAUUUUCGGAAUAAGAAAAUCCUCUUGCUUAUGCCUAGCUCACAUCUUACCAAUUGAGAGAUAUGGAGAGAAGAGGGGAGGGAGAAUUCACCCAGUCCAAUGACUGGACUUUGAAAAUGCAGAUAAUCCUCUGUGUUCGUAAAUAUAUUCAUGAAAGGGAAAAUACAAUAAAUCCUCUUGCUUAUGCUUAUCAUUUUUAGUUUAAUGAUUUGGUUUCCCUUUCAUGGAAUAUAUAAACAAAGAAAACGGUAGGAAGAACUUUGUGAGAGAGAAUUCACCUAGUUUUUGUAAACUAACGGUGCUAAAGGCCAUGUAAUCAAAGCAUUUAUGUAAUCCCAACACAAGUUAUUAGAUAAGGGCCUUUGAAUCUUGUUGCAUUAAGUACUUCAAAGGCAAGUUCACCUUGGAUAUUCUUAAACUUUUUUUUGGGCGUAUUGUUUGGGCAAAAAAAUAUUGGUUUGGGCUGAGUUUAGAAUUGUUAUCAGUCCAGAGGCCAUGCUUAGGAGUCAUUGGGGGUUAUCCAGCUCAUGGGCCGAGUAGUCAAGGCUGGCCGUAUCACAUUACGAAUCUGUGGGGUGUGGGUGAGUCAUAUUACGGGAAGGAGUUUCGAUAGGAUAAGGAUGUUGGAGUUUGAGACUGAAUGCGGCUUGAUAACAAGUCGGG
Non-coding RNA from Malus domestica (apple), 2398 nucleotides. The record is from RefSeq and is a predicted model, not a curated record. Lineage: Eukaryota; Viridiplantae; Streptophyta; Magnoliopsida; Rosales; Rosaceae.